This is a long non-coding RNA of Molossus molossus (Pallas's mastiff bat), 567 nucleotides long. RefSeq lists it as uncharacterized. NCBI's taxonomy places the organism in Eukaryota, Metazoa, Chordata, Mammalia, Chiroptera, Molossidae. The record is from RefSeq and is a predicted model, not a curated record. The transcript has 3 exons.
GCCAAAAACGACGGGGUGGGGUGUCGUGGGUAGAGAUGCCCUCAGAAUGUGGAAAGAUUUAUGCUUAGAGGAAGAUGUCCUCCUUGUGAAUAGAGUGUAGCAAAGAAGAUGAUAUGUUUUCUUUUUGAGCUCUCCUGCUUCCUAUUUCCUACUUCUUUCCUCACAGUACAUUCGAACAGAGAGGGGCCCUAGGAAUUGAGACCAGCAUCCUCAUUUCACAUAUGAAAAAUCUGAGACCAACAGAAGUAUCUGAAAUCACACUUCUUGUUUCAGAAAUCAGGAAUGUGUGCUUUGACUCUUCUUCAGCAUUAAACAUUUGUACUGCACAUUCACAAACGGCUGCCUGGGUCGUUUCUGAAGCACCUGGUCAGGAUUAGCACUCCUCCAAAUGACUUCAUGAGUGACACGGAUGAGGGAGAUGAGGACCAAAGUGAUGUAAAAUGAUCGAAGGGAACAUGGACACCACAAAUGGAACAGGAAGCUCCCCGGUACACUGCCUCGACGAGGGACAGGGCCCUGGAAGGUGGUUUUUACGUGGGGCCCAUGUCACAAAAGGUGUGCAGCUGU